Molecule: ribosomal RNA, 485 nt
Filed under: uncultured Glaciecola sp.
Lineage: Bacteria; Pseudomonadati; Pseudomonadota; Gammaproteobacteria; Alteromonadales; Alteromonadaceae
Description: bacterial SSU rRNA
Rfam family: Bacterial small subunit ribosomal RNA
Source: RNAcentral
GCGCACGCAGGCGGUCUGUUAAGCUAGAUGUGAAAGCCCCGCGCUCAACGUGGGAUGGUCAUUAGAACUGGCAGACUAGAGUCUUGGAGAGGGGAGUGGAAUUCCAGGUGUAGCGGUGAAAUGCGUAGAGAUCUGGAGGAACAUCAAUGGCGAAGGCAACUCCCUGGCCAAAGACUGACGCUCAUGUGCGAAAGUGUGGGUAGCGAACAGGAUUAGAUACCCUGGUAGUCCACACCGUAAACGCUGUCUACUAGCUGUUUGUGGAUUUAAUCCGUGAGUAGCGAAGCUAACGCGAUAAGUAGACCGCCUGGGGAGUACGGCCGCAAGGUUAAAACUCAAAUGAAUUGACGGGGGCCCGCACAAGCGGUGGAGCAUGUGGUUUAAUUCGAUGCAACGCGAAGAACCUUACCUACUCUUGACAUCCUCAGAAGAGACUGGAGACAGUCUUGUGCCUUCGGGAACUGAGAGACAGGUGCUGCAUGGCU